UACGAGUGCCUCAAGCGUUAUCCGGAAUCAUUGGGCGUAAAGGGUUUGUAGGUGGUCAUGUUAGUCUUUCGUUAAAUUUCCCGGCUUAACCGGGAACAUGCGGAGGAAACGGCAUGACUUGAGGAUGCAAGGGGUCUGCGGAACUCAUAGUGUAGCGGUGAAAUGCGUUGAUAUUAUGGGGAACACCAAAAGCGAAGGCAGCAGACUGGGGCACUCCUGACACUGAAAAACGAAAGCGUGGGUAGCGAAUGGG
This 253-nucleotide ribosomal RNA is filed under the name uncultured bacterium. RNAcentral describes it as "partial 16S ribosomal RNA". It matches the Rfam family "Bacterial small subunit ribosomal RNA", at positions 524 to 776 of the family's 1533-position model. The record is from RNAcentral.